AGCAGCCGCGGUAAUUCCAGCUCCAAUAGCGUAUAUUAAAGUUGUUGUGGUUAAAAAGCUCGUAGUUGAACCUUGGGCCUGGCUGGCCGGUCCGCCUCACCGCGUGUACUGGUCCGGCCGGGCCUUUCCCUCUGUGGAACCCCAUGCCCUUCACUGGGUGUGGCGGGGAAACAGGACUUUUACUGUGAAAAAAUUAGAGUGCUCCAGGCAGGCCUAUGCUCGAAUACAUUAGCAUGGAAUAAUAGAAUAGGACGUGUGGUUCUAUUUUGUUGGUUUCUAGGACCGCCGUAAUGAUUAAUAGGGACAGUCGGGGGCAUCAGUAUUCAAUUGUCAGAGGUGAAAUUCUUGGAUUUAUUGAAGACUAACUACUGCGAAAGCAUUUGCCAAGGAUGUUUUCAUUAAUCAGGAACGAAAGUUAGGGGAUCGAAGACGAUCAGAUACCGUCGUAGUCUUAACCAUAAACUAUGCCGACUAGGGAUCGGACGAUGUUAUAUUUUGACCCG
Molecule: ribosomal RNA, 503 nt
Filed under: uncultured Ascomycota
Lineage: Eukaryota; Fungi; Ascomycota
Description: SSU rRNA
Rfam family: Eukaryotic small subunit ribosomal RNA
Source: RNAcentral